Molecule: ribosomal RNA, 232 nt
Filed under: uncultured bacterium
Lineage: Bacteria
Description: partial 16S ribosomal RNA
Rfam family: Bacterial small subunit ribosomal RNA
Source: RNAcentral
UAACAACGUGGGUAACCGUCGCCCUGAUGAUCGGGACAACCCGAGGAAACUCGGGCUAAUACCGAAUGUGCCCUCCGGCCAUAAGGCCACUGGGGAAAGGAAGCUUCGGCCUCCGCAUCGGGAUGGGCCCGCGGCCCAUUAGCUUGUUGGUGAGGUAACGGCUCACCAAGGCAAUGAUGGGUAGCUGGUCUGAGAGGACGAUCAGCCACACUGGGACUGAGACACGGCCCAG